RNAcentral lists this small nuclear RNA (106 nucleotides) under Neotoma lepida (desert woodrat). The record is from RNAcentral. Lineage: Eukaryota; Metazoa; Chordata; Mammalia; Rodentia; Cricetidae.
GUGUUUGCUUCAGCAGCACACAUACUAAAGAUGGNUGAUACAGAAAAGAUGAGUGUGGUCCCUAUGCAAGGCAGAAACAUGCAUUCAUGAAGCAUUCUAUAGUUUU